UUCCUUUUAUCGUCAAUCCAGAGCUCUACGGCUGCUAACGCAAGAGGCCAAAAAUGUUUUGGAGGAAGAAAAACAAAGGCAGGAAGUGGCGGCGGCCUGACGGUGCGUGAGUGUCUGCGAAGGGAGGGAGCUGUUUCAAUCUCUUCUUGUUUUUCUGAACGUCAAGGUCUAGGCGG
This 176-nucleotide long non-coding RNA is filed under the name Dasypus novemcinctus (nine-banded armadillo). RNAcentral describes it as "HOXA11 antisense RNA 1 conserved region 6 (ENSDNOG00000046699.1)". It matches the Rfam family "HOXA11 antisense RNA 1 conserved region 6". The record is from RNAcentral. Lineage: Eukaryota; Metazoa; Chordata; Mammalia; Cingulata; Dasypodidae.